Molecule: ribosomal RNA, 377 nt
Filed under: Rhinophis philippinus
Lineage: Eukaryota; Metazoa; Chordata; Lepidosauria; Squamata; Uropeltidae
Description: partial small subunit ribosomal RNA
Source: RNAcentral
GCCCGAACGUAACAUGACACACCACCGUCCGCCAAAUAACUACGAGUACAAACUUAAAAUUUAAAGGACUUGACGGUAUUUCACACUCAACCUAGAGGAGCCUGUCUACUAACCGAUAACCCACGAUUAACCCAACCGCUUCUAGCCUCCAGCCUAUAUACCACCGUCGCCAGCCUACCUUAUAAAAGAAACAAAGUGAGCUAAACAGUAAUACACUAAAACGACAGGUCAAGGUGUAGCUAAUGAAUCGGAUUAAGAUGGGCUACAUUUUCUAACCCAGACUAUACGAACUAGGCCAUGAAACAAGCCUUCGAAGGCGGAUUUAGUAGUAAGCCGAGAACAUAACACUCAACUGAAACCAAUGCAAUGAAAUGCGU